Molecule: ribosomal RNA, 522 nt
Filed under: Thermoanaerobacterium thermosaccharolyticum
Lineage: Bacteria; Bacillati; Bacillota; Clostridia; Thermoanaerobacterales; Thermoanaerobacteraceae
Description: bacterial SSU rRNA
Rfam family: Bacterial small subunit ribosomal RNA
Source: RNAcentral
ACGGGUGAGUAACGCGUGGACAAUCUACCCUGUAGACUGGGAUAACACCUCGAAAGGGGUGCUAAUACCGGAUAAUGUCGAGAAGCGGCAUCGCUUUUCGAAGAAAGGAGGGAAUCCGCUAUAGGAGGAGUCCGCGUCCCAUUAGCUAGUUGGUGAGGGUAACGGCCCACCAAGGCGACGAUGGGUAGCCGGCCUGAGAGGGUGAACGGCCACACUGGAACUGAGACACGGUCCAGACUCCUACGGGAGGCAGCAGUGGGGAAUAUUGUGCAAUGGGGGAAACCCUGACACAGCGACGCCGCGUGAGUGAAGAAGGCCUUCGGGUCGUAAAGCUCAAUAGUAUGGGAAGAAAGAAAUGACGGUACCAUACGAAAGCCCCGGCUAACUACGUGCCAGCAGCCGCGGUAAUACGUAGGGGGCGAGCGUUGUCCGGAAUUACUGGGCGUAAAGAGCACGUAGGCGGCUAUAAAAGUCAGAUGUGAAAAACCUGGGCUCAACCGAGGGUAUGCAUCUGAAACUAUA